GAUGAACGCUGGCGGUCUGCUUAACACAUGCAAGUCGAACGCAACCUUCGGGUUGAGUGGCGGACGGGUGAGUAACGCGUGAGAAUCUGCCUUGGGGUCGGGGACAACCACUGGAAACGGUGGCUAAUACCGGAUAAGCCUUUGGGUAAAAAAUUUAUUGCCCCAAGAGGAGCUCGCGUCUGAUUAGCUAGUUGGUGAGGUAAAAGCUCACCAAGGCAGCGAUCAGUAGCUGGUCUGAGAGGACGAUCAGCCACACUGGGACUGAGACACGGNCCAGACUCCUACGGGAGGCAGCAGUGGGGAAUUUUCCGCUAUGGGCGAAAGCCUGACGGAGCAAGACCGCGUGAGGGAGGAAGGCUCUUGGGUUGUAAACCUCUUUUCUCAGGGAAGAAGCUCUGACGGUACCUGAGGAAUCAGCCUCGGNUAACUCCGUGCCAGCAGCCGCGGUAAUACGGAGGAGGCAAGCGUUAUCCGGAAUUAUUGGGCGUAAAGCGUCCGCAGGUGGGCGAUUCAAGUCUGCUGUCAAAGCACGGGGCUU
RNAcentral lists this ribosomal RNA (538 nucleotides) under uncultured cyanobacterium. RNAcentral describes it as "bacterial SSU rRNA". It matches the Rfam family "Bacterial small subunit ribosomal RNA", at positions 28 to 610 of the family's 1533-position model. The record is from RNAcentral. Lineage: Bacteria; Bacillati; Cyanobacteriota.